UGGGGAAUAUUGCACAAUGGAGGGAACUCUGAUGCAGCGACGCCGCGUGAGUGAAGAAGUAUUUCGGUAUGUAAAGCUCUAUCAGCAGGGAAGAAGACGACGGUACCUGACUAAGAAGCCCCGGCUAACUACGUGCCAGCAGCCGCGGUAAUACGUAGGGGGCAAGCGUUAUCCGGAUUUACUGGGUGUAAAGGGAGCGUAGACGGCGAUGCAAGUCUGAAGUGAAAGGCGGGGGCUCAACUCCCGGAUUGCUUUGGAAACUGUAUGGCUAGAGUACCGGAGGGGUAAGCGGAAUUCCUGGUGUAGCGGUGAAAUGCGUAGAUAUCAGGAGGAACACCGGUGGCGAAGGCGGCUUACUGGACGGCAACUGACGUUGAGGCUCGAAAGCGUGGGGAGCAAACAGGAUUAGAUACCCUGGUAGU
Molecule: ribosomal RNA, 422 nt
Filed under: uncultured Lachnospiraceae bacterium
Lineage: Bacteria; Bacillati; Bacillota; Clostridia; Lachnospirales; Lachnospiraceae
Description: bacterial SSU rRNA
Rfam family: Bacterial small subunit ribosomal RNA
Source: RNAcentral